Long non-coding RNA from Drosophila sulfurigaster albostrigata, 615 nucleotides. RefSeq lists it as uncharacterized. The transcript is spliced from 2 exons. The record is from RefSeq and is a predicted model, not a curated record. Lineage: Eukaryota; Metazoa; Arthropoda; Insecta; Diptera; Drosophilidae.
AUUAAUGCAAACAAAGUUGCCAUUGUGAAUAACAAAUAGAACGGCUGCUGAGAGAGGGAAGCGAAGCAAUGCCAUUCGACACUAUCGUUCAGAAUACUUUUUUUUUUGUAAAGUAAUAUAUUAAUAUUUAAUGGGGGCAUGAUUAAAAACAACCUUGGUGGUUCUAAUAAGUAUGCUUAGAAAUUUCUAACAACACAACAGAUCAGCAGUUUGCCUAGAAAAACAACAGUAGCUUAAAUCAGAAAUGUUGUGAUUUUUACAUUUACAAAUUUCCCAUAAAUCCCCACGUAAGAAAAUAGAAGGGGUUUUCCACCUCAUCGUUUAUUUAUGAGUAAAUAAACAAACUGCGUUUCUCGGUUGAAACUGUCUGCAAAUUUUUAGUAGGAAAAAUUGAGACGCCGAAUAAAUCCGAAAUAGCAAAGACUUAUCAGUAGACAGACAAAUAUAGUAUUUAUUUGGCUUCGUAUUGUGCGCAGAAAUUUGCAAAUAUUUGGAAAGGGCGCGUCCAAUCGGAGAGACAGAGUCACUCAUAAAAUGCAAAUGAAUUUUAUAAAUACUAAACAGAAAGCGAGCCAAUCGCUGCAAAUGGAAAUCAAUAAAAAACAAAAACAACAA